AUACGUAGGGUGCGAGCGUUGUCCGGAAUUACUGGGCGUAAAGAGCUCGUAGGUGGUUUGUCGCGUCGUCUGUGAAAUUCCGGGGCUUAACUCCGGGCGUGCAGGCGAUACGGGCAUAACUUGAGUACUGUAGGGGAGACUGGAAUUCCUGGUGUAGCGGUGAAAUGCGCAGAUAUCAGGAGGAACACCGGUGGCGAAGGCGGGUCUCUGGGCAGUAACUGACGCCGAGGAGCGAAAGCAUGGGUAGCGAACAGGAUUAGAUACCCUGGUAGUCCAUGCCGUAAACGGUGGGCGCUAGGUGUAGGGGUCUUCCACGACUUCUGUGCCGUAGCUAACGCAUUAAGCGCCCCGCCUGGGGAGUACGGCCGCAAGGCUAAAACUCAAAUGAAUUGACGGGG
RNAcentral lists this ribosomal RNA (398 nucleotides) under uncultured bacterium. Its description in RNAcentral is "partial 16S ribosomal RNA". It matches the Rfam family "Bacterial small subunit ribosomal RNA", at positions 523 to 918 of the family's 1533-position model. The record is from RNAcentral.